Molecule: non-coding RNA, 385 nt
Organism: Oreochromis aureus
Lineage: Eukaryota; Metazoa; Chordata; Actinopteri; Cichliformes; Cichlidae
Source: the annotation of a RefSeq genome assembly
CAUGACUUUGAUCUGCGUCCUCAUCUGGACUCUCCUCUGCUGCUGCUUCACAGAGUCCAGAGGACAGAUCACAGUGACUCAGCCUGGAGCAGUGAGCUCUGCUGUGGGAGGAACUGUGAACAUCAAGUGCACAACGAGUGAAGAUGUUUAUUCUCUUUUAGAUACCCAUUUUUUGGCCUGGUACCAACAGAAAGACGGUGGAGUUCCUAAACUGAUCAUUUAUGCUGCUGACACUCUAGAAUCAGGGAUAUCAAAUCGUUUUACAGGCAGUGGAUCAAACUCUGACUUCACUCUGACCAUCAGUGGAGUCCAGGCUGAAGAUGCAGCAGUUUAUUACUGUCAGAGUGCUCAUGAGAUCAACAGUCAGCUUGUGUUCACACAGUGA